Molecule: long non-coding RNA, 1290 nt
Organism: Panicum virgatum (switchgrass)
Lineage: Eukaryota; Viridiplantae; Streptophyta; Magnoliopsida; Poales; Poaceae
Exons: 2
Source: RefSeq, a predicted model, not a curated record
UCCGACCGUUUUCAUCCCAUCCUCCCCAGCUCCCCAGCUCCCCGCCGCCCGCCGCCCUCGCCCUCCUCUCCUGCUCCCCGCCGCCGCAGCCCCUCUCCUCCUCGGCUACCCUCCCCUCCCCUCACCCCUCCGCGCGGCACGGGCCGACGUGGAUCCGGCGAGUCGCGGCCUACCUCCCGUGGCUGCUUGUCGGUGAGCGCGUUCUCGAAGGCCUCCUCCUCCUCCUCCUGUUGCUGCUGCUGCUGCUGCUGCUCCGCCCUCAGCACCUCCCCGCCGGCCGCGGACCCCGCUUGUUCGAGAGCCGAAGGCGUCGAGGCUCGCGCAGCCUUCCCGGCGGUGCUCUCCUCCUCCUCCGCCCUCGGCGCCUCCCCGCCGGUCGCGGCCCCGCUGCUCCUCGGGCAUCGGCGGCGAUGAGGCUCGCGCUGCCUCCCCGGCGGUGCUCUCCUCCUCGGGAACCGGCGGGAAGGGCGCGGCUCCGGCUUCGACUCGGCGCUGUGCCCCUGCAACUGGGCCGCUCGCGCCGCCGCCACGCUAGGCGAGCGCAAGCGUGAGCGUGGCAGCGCCGGGUGCCGGCACCAUGGAGGAGGGUCUACGCCGAGGUCCGCACGCUAGGCACCCUGUCCGCGCGCCGCGCCCCCGUGAGGGGCGCGUCGCCUCGAGACCCCGCUCGUCGCACUCUCAACCUCGUCGCUGGAUGGCUCGUGCUCUUUGACGGCGGCUGCAAGGGAGAAAAACUGCUUUCCUGCUUCCCUAGCCGGCUUUUGUGGACCCUUCAUCUCGGGCAAGAAGAGUCUGAUGCAUGGGAUCUGCGGUCUCCAUGGACCUCCGCCUGCAAACUAUGUAGCAUGGUGAUUAACUUUUGGUUUCAGUUAGUAUUCAAAGCUACUUGCUAGGUUGUUUGGUAGCUAUGCAUACUUGUGUUGCAUGUAGAUAUACAGUGCUCAGAUGUGCUGUAAUAUUGAUGCUCCAAAUUCCGGACAGACACCUAAUGAUAAGAUAAAUUGGGUCCUCGGAUGUAACCAUGGUGAUCGGAUGUAUACUGUGAUGUUGAUGAUUGAGAUGCCAGAUAGACACCUGAUGGAUAAGAUAGUUCGGUGCUCGGAUGUAUGUUUAUUAUUUAGACACCUGAUGGCUAGGAUAGCAUGAUGCUCGGAUGUGCUGUAAUAUCUAUGAUUCAAAUGCCGGAUAGACACUUAUGUUAGCAUGAUGUGCCUGUUACCUGAUGUGGUGGUUUCGUAUUGAAUUCAUCUUAUACUAUAUGUAUAAUAUAAUUGUCACUUUUUAUUGUCU